UAGGGAAUAUUGGGCAAUGGGCGCAAGCCUGACCCAGCCAUGCCGCGUGCAGGAAGAAUGCCCUCUGGGUUGUAAACUGCUUUUGGGAGGGGACAAAAAGCCAAUGCGUUGGUAAUUGAGUGUACCUCCAGAAUAAGCACCGGCUAACUCCGUGCCAGCAGCCGCGGUAAUACGGAGGGUGCAAGCGUUGUCCGGAUUUAUUGGGUUUAAAGGGUGCGUAGGCGGCCAAAUAAGUCGGAGGUGAAACCCA
RNAcentral lists this ribosomal RNA (250 nucleotides) under uncultured bacterium. RNAcentral's name for it is "partial 16S ribosomal RNA". It matches the Rfam family "Bacterial small subunit ribosomal RNA", at positions 355 to 603 of the family's 1533-position model. The record is from RNAcentral.